AGCGAGCGGCGGAUGGGUGAGUAACACGCUGGGCGAACCUGCCCCUAAGUCUGGGAUACCAUUUGGAAACAGGUGCUAAUACCGGAUAAUGAAGCAGAUCGCAUGAUCAGCUUUUGAAAGGCGGCGUAAGCUGUCGCUAAGGGAUGGCCCCGCGGUGCAUUAGCUAGUUGGUAAGGUAACGGCUUACCAAGGCGACGAUGCAUAGCCGAGUUGAGAGACUGAUCGGCCACAUUGGGACUGAGACACGGCCCAAACUCCUACGGGAGGCAGCAGUAGGGAAUCUUCCACAAUGGACGCAAGUCUGAUGGAGCAACGCCGCGUGAGUGAAGAAGGUUUUCGGAUCGUAAAGCUCUGUUGUUGGUGAAGAAGGAUAGAGGUAGUAACUGGCCUUUAUUUGACGGUAAUCAACCAGAAAGUCACGGCUAACUACGUGCCAGCAGCCGCGGUAAUACGUAGGUGGCAAGCGUUGUCCGGAUUUAUUGGGCGUAAAGCGAGCGCAGGCGGAAAAAUAAGUCUAAUGUGAAAGCCCUCGGCUUAACCGAGGAACUGCAUCGGAAACUGUUUUUCUUGAGUGCAGAAGAGGAGAGUGGAACUCCUUGUGUAGCGGUGGAAUGCGUA
Molecule: ribosomal RNA, 618 nt
Filed under: uncultured bacterium
Lineage: Bacteria
Description: bacterial SSU rRNA
Rfam family: Bacterial small subunit ribosomal RNA
Source: RNAcentral